UUGACCGUGCAAAGGUAGCAUAAUCCAUUGUCUUUUAAUUAAAGGCUAGAAUGAAUGGUUGGAUGAGAUAUUGACUAUUUUUAUUUUAAUAAAAAUGAAUUUUAAUUUUUAGUAAAAAUGCUAAAAUAAUAAAAUUAGACGAGAAGACCCUAUAAAUCUUUAUUUUUAAAUAAUAAUUUUAAUUUUGUAAAUUUUUUAUUAAUUAUUUUUUUAAAAAUUUUAUUGGGAGGAUAAUGAAAUUUAAUAAACUUUUAUUUUAACCUAUAAAUAUAAUUAAAUUAAUGAAUAUGUUAAUAUGUUUAAAAAAUUAAGUUACUUUAGGGAUAACAGCGUAAUUAUUUUAGAGAGUUCUUAUCGAUAAAAUAGUUUGCGACCUCGAUGCUGAAUUAUAGAGUAACAGACCGGCAGAAGUAACAUGGCU
This 421-nucleotide ribosomal RNA is filed under the name Culicoides bolitinos. RNAcentral describes it as "partial 16S ribosomal RNA". Lineage: Eukaryota; Metazoa; Arthropoda; Insecta; Diptera; Ceratopogonidae. The record is from RNAcentral.